CUUAACACAUGCAAGUCGAGGGGCAGCAUGGUCUUAGCUUGCUAAGGCCGAUGGCGACCGGCGCACGGGUGAGUAACACGUAUCCAACCUGCCGUCUACUCUUGGACAGCCUUCUGAAAGGAAGAUUAAUACAAGAUGGCAUCAUGAGUCCGCAUGUUCACAUGAUUAAAGGUAUUCCGGUAGACGAUGGGGAUGCGUUCCAUUAGAUAGUAGGCGGGGUAACGGCCCACCUAGUCUUCGAUGGAUAGGGGUUCUGAGAGGAAGGUCCCCCACAUUGGAACUGAGACACGGUCCAAACUCCUACGGGAGGCAGCAGUGAGGAAUAUUGGUCAAUGGGCGAGAGCCUGAACCAGCCAAGUAGCGUGAAGGAUGACUGCCCUAUGGGUUGUAAACUUCUUUUAUAAAGGAAUAAAGUCGGGUAUGCAUACCCGUUUGCAUGUACUUUAUGAAUAAGGAUCGGCUAACUCCGUGCCAGCAGCCGCGGUAAUACGGAGGAUCCGAGCGUUAUCCGGAUUUAUUGGGUUUAAAGGGAGCGUAGAUGGAUGUUUAAGUCAGUUGUGAAAGUUUGCGGCUCAACCGUAAAAUUGCAGUUGAUACUGGAUAUCUUGAGUGCAGUUGAGGCAGGCGGAAUUCGUGGUGUAGCGGUGAAAUGCUUAGAUAUCACGAAGAACUCCGAUUGCGAAGGCAGCCUGCUAAGCUGCAACUGACAUUGAGGCUCGAAAGUGUGGGUAUCAAACAGGAUUAGAUACCCUGGUAGUCCACACGGUAAACGAUGAAUACUCGCUGUUUGCGAUAUACAGCAAGCGGCCAAGCGAAAGCGUUAAGUAUUCCACCUGGGGAGUACGCCGGCAACGGUGAAACUCAAAGGAAUUGACGGGGGCCCGCACAAGCGGAGGAACAUGUGGUUUAAUUCGAUGAUACGCGAGGAACCUUACCCGGGCUUAAAUUGCAGAUGAAUUACGGUGAAAGCCGUAAGCCGCAAGGCAUCUGUGAAGGUGCUGCAUGGUUGUCGUCAGCUCGUGCCGUGAGGUGUCGGCUUAAGUGCCAUAACGAGCGCAACCCUUGUUGUCAGUUACUAACAGGUUCCGCUGAGGACUCUGACAAGACUGCCAUCGUAAGAUGUGAGGAAGGUGGGGAUGACGUCAAAUCAGCACGGCCCUUACGUCCGGGGCUACACACGUGUUACAAUGGGGGGGUACAGAGGGCCGCUACCACGCGAGUGGAUGCCAAUCCCAAAAACCUCUCUCAGUUCGGACUGGAGUCUGCAACCCGACUCCACGAAGCUGGAUUCGCUAGUAAUCGCGCAUCAGCCACGGCGCGGUGAAUACGUUCCCGGGCCUUGUACACACCGCCCGUCAAGCCAUGGGAGCCGGGGGUACCUGAAGUGCGUAACCGCGAGGAGCGCCCUAGGGUAAAACUGGUGACUGGGGCUAAAU
Molecule: ribosomal RNA, 1436 nt
Filed under: uncultured organism
Description: SSU rRNA
Rfam family: Bacterial small subunit ribosomal RNA
Source: RNAcentral